This 515-nucleotide ribosomal RNA is filed under the name uncultured bacterium. RNAcentral's name for it is "partial 16S ribosomal RNA". It matches the Rfam family "Bacterial small subunit ribosomal RNA", at positions 28 to 523 of the family's 1533-position model. The record is from RNAcentral.
GAUGAGCGCUGGCGGCGUGCCUAAUACAUGCAAGUCGAGCGAAUGGAUUAAGAGCUUGCUCUUAUGAAGUUAGCGGCGGACGGGUGAGUAACACGUGGGUAACCUGCCCAUAAGACUGGGAUAACUCCGGGAAACCGGGGCUAAUACCGGAUAACAUUUUGAACCGCAUGGUUCGAAAUUGAAAGGCGGCUUCGGCUGUCACUUAUGGAUGGACCCGCGUCGCAUUAGCUAGUUGGUGAGGUAACGGCUCACCAAGGCAACGAUGCGUAGCCGACCUGGGAGGGUGAUCGGCCACACUGGGACUGAGACACGGCCCAGACUCCUACGGGAGGCAGCAGUAGGGAAUCUUCCGCAAUGGACGAAAGUCUGACGGAGCAACGCCGCGUGAGUGAUGAAGGCUUUCGGGUCGCAAAACUCUGUUGUUAGGGAAGAACAAGCGCUAGUUGAAUAAGCUGGCACCUUGACGGUACCUAACCAGAAAGCCACGGCUAACUACGUGCCAGCCGCCGCCGUAA